AGAGUUUGAUCCUGGCUCAGAACGAACGCUGGCGGCGUGCCUAACACAUGCAAGUCGAACGUGAAACCCACAUUGAUUACUUCGGUAUGAUCUGCGGGCGGAAAGUGGCGAACGGGUGAGUAACACGUAGGUGACCUGCCUCGAAGUGGGGGAUAACCAUUGGAAACGAUGGCUAAUACCGCAUGGCUUUGUUGAAGUGGGAACUUCGGCAAAUAAAGCUCUGGCGCUUUGAGAGGGGCCUGCGUCCGAUUAGCUAGUUGGUGGGGUAAUGGCCUACCAAGGCUGCGAUCGGUAGCUGGUCUGAGAGGACGAUCAGUCACACGGGAACUGAGACACGGUCCCGACUCCUACGGGGGGCAGCAGUGAGGAAUAUUCGGCAAUGGGGGCAACCCUGACCGAGCAACGCCGCGUGGAGGAUGAAGGCCCUUGGGUCGUAAACUCCUUUUCUGUGGGAAGAGACAAAGGACGGUACCACAGGAAUAAGUCACGGCUAACUACGUGCCAGCAGCCGCGGUAAUACGUAGGUGGCAAGCGUUAUCCGGAAUUACUGGGCGUAAAGCGUACGCAGGCGGUCAAAUAAGUCUGACGUGAAAGCUCCUGGCUUAACUGGGAGAGGUCGUUGGAAACUAUUUGGCUUGAGGUGAUGAGAGGGGUGCGGAAUUCCCGGUGUAGUGGUGGAAUGCGUAGAUAUCGGGAGGAACACCAGUGGCGAAAGCGGCACCCUGGCAUUUAUCUGACGCUCAUGUACGAAAGCGUGGGGAGCGAACGGGAUUAGAUACCCCGGUAGUCCACGCCGUAAACGAUGAACACUAGGUGUAGGUGGCAUCAAACCCAUCUGUGCCGAAGCAAACGCGAUAAGUGUUCCGCCUGGGGAGUACGGGCCGCAAGGCUAAAACUCAAAGGGAAUUGACGGGGGCCCGCACAAGCAGCGGAGCGUGUGGUUUUAAUUUCGAUGCAACGCUAAGACCUUACUUGGGUUUGACAUGUUACGUAGUAGUGAUGGAAAGGAACCGAGCUUCCGGGCAGCGUACACAGGUGCCUGCAAUGGACUGAUCGUUCAGGCUCGAGUUUCCGUGAGAAUGUUUGGGGUUUAG
This 1094-nucleotide ribosomal RNA is filed under the name uncultured bacterium. RNAcentral describes it as "bacterial SSU rRNA". It matches the Rfam family "Bacterial small subunit ribosomal RNA", at positions 8 to 1084 of the family's 1533-position model. The record is from RNAcentral.